This 436-nucleotide ribosomal RNA is filed under the name uncultured bacterium. RNAcentral describes it as "partial 16S ribosomal RNA". It matches the Rfam family "Bacterial small subunit ribosomal RNA", at positions 29 to 506 of the family's 1533-position model. The record is from RNAcentral.
AGCGAACGCUGGCGGCAGGCUUAACACAUGCAAGUCGAGCGGGCAUCCUUGUGGUGUCAGCGGCAGACGGGUGAGUAACGCGUGGGAACGCGCCCUUCGGUUCGGAAUAACUCAGGGAAACUUGAGCUAAUACCGGAUACGUGCGAGAGCAGAAAGGUUUAUCUGCCGAAGGAUCGGCCCGCGUCUGAUUAGCUAGUUGGUGAGGUUAUGGCUCACCAAGGCGACGAUCAGUAGCUGGUCUGAGAGGAUGAUCAGCCACACUGGGACUGAGACACGGCCCAGACUCCUACGGGAGGCAGCAGUGGGGAAUAUUGGACAAUGGGGGCAACCCUGAUCCAGCCAUGCCGCGUGAGUGAUGACGGCCUUAGGGUUGUAAAGCUCUUUUCUCCGGGACGAUAAUGACGGUACCGGAGGAAUAAGCCCCGGCUAACUUCGU